RNAcentral lists this ribosomal RNA (235 nucleotides) under uncultured bacterium. Its description in RNAcentral is "partial 16S ribosomal RNA". It matches the Rfam family "Bacterial small subunit ribosomal RNA", at positions 99 to 334 of the family's 1533-position model. The record is from RNAcentral.
CGCACGGGUGAGUAACACGUAUCCAACCUGCCGUCUACUCUUGGACAGCCUUCUGAAAGGAAGAUUAAUCCAGGAUGGCAUCAUGAGCCCACAUGUUCUCAUGAUUAAAGGUAUUCCGGUAGACGAUGGGGAUGCGUUCCAUUAGAUAGUAGGCGGGGUAACGGCCCACCUAGUCUUCGAUGGAUAGGGGUUCUGAGAGGAAGGUCCCCCACAUUGGAACUGAGACACGGUCCAA